This 1787-nucleotide unclassified non-coding RNA is filed under the name Cyanidioschyzon merolae strain 10D. RNAcentral describes it as "hypothetical transcript". Lineage: Eukaryota; Rhodophyta; Bangiophyceae; Cyanidiales; Cyanidiaceae. The record is from RNAcentral.
ACAAGAUUCUGCACCCAGACGAAUCCAUAUAGAGACGCGUGGGUGCCUGGCCCUGAAGACACCAAAGUCGCGGCAUCUUUACCGUUUUGUAAGCGAAUCUGAUACGACGUAUGGGCCGUACGCCAUGGAAACACGAGUGAAGGAUGCUGUGCACGAGGAGCAGCGACCUCGCACCCACGGAAGCCGUCGUUCGACGCCCGCAAAAGGAUGGCAAUGUCGUUCGGUGUCGGGAGGAUGUCUGGAACGCCACAAAUGGCGCACAUGGUAUGCUCGGUGCCCAGGAGAUCGUUUGAACGAUGCAUUAUUUCGGGAGAAAUGUUCGUUCUGGGGCCAAUGGACCUGAGCGGGUCGGGGUCGGCGCUGCGACGGGCUCUGCGGUUGCCAGUAACCGUCACGCAUCCGGGAAUCUCUGGUUUGCAUCGUCGAUUCUACUUCAAAAAAAACUGUUGAAUGCCGUCGCUAUACACAGGCGGUUUUGUAGUUCGCGGCGAUACUUCACUGUAUCUGUCGCUCGUUCCGGUACGCUCUCUAGUCGAAAGUGUAACUCGAAAGCACCGAUACCAUCAUUCCCUGAAUGAAACCAAGUCGAUUUGGUGAUUAUGAUGCAUCAUCCUCCUGUUUACUGAUAGGCUGUUGUAGCAACAGACGCAGUUACGCUGCGCAGGCAUGCGCAUUUCUCAAGACGGCGAAAAGCCCAGAGAAAUCGGCGGGUCCUUGCGCACGGCAGCAGGAGCCCAUGGAGGCUUUCCUGCUCCGCGAGACCGCCAAGCCACUGACCAUAAAGUUCCCGAGCACACGCUCUGGUGCCUGCGCGCGCCCUGCUAUGCUCUAUUCACGGGCAGUAGUCGCACGCGCUCGUGCGUUCUACACCCGUAUCAGUAUAGAAUGGAACGUAUCCUCUAACUCGGGCGUACACGCGAAUGCCUGGGUCUGUUUUCGCUGCCAUCAGUACAAGCCCUUGCGGACUUGUUCUGCGACUGCUUCCUUUGUCUCUCCUACCCGCGGCUUUGGAUGCGCUGGUCUGUCUUUUAUCGCCAGCUCAGCUGUCAUCAUCCGAAUGAUUUCCAUGGCAGCAAUUAAAUCCCGAUUUCGCCGCUUUGGGCCGGUGUCGACACAUUGCAUGCACAGGCAGUAGUUGCAGGCUAUGCUUUACUUGUCAUUUCCAUCUUUUUGUAUACAGCCUGAGUAUGCUCUUCGCAGCGAUGACACCUGAUCGUGGUCAGGUGUUCCAACAUGGCUACCAUACCAACUCCUCCGAGCGUGACUCUGUCGCGCACGAACGCUUGCUUCAUCGCUCGGUAGAAGCGCUUGAAGCGUACAGCAGGUUCCCCUCGAUGCCCUUCUUCGUGCCUCUUGACCCAAGCUGUACCCUGAUAUCAUGGGCUUCUUCUGGGUAUCUCCUCGGUGCAUACGCUGUACACUCCAUGCGCGAGGGCACGCUCUUCCAUUCGUUUGAGGAUUUGCGGAACGUGAUGCUACCCGUGAUGAAUCAAGGACCAGAAAGGAACCUAGGCUAGGCGGGGCGUCGAAAAAUUUCGAUCCAUCUACACUUCUUCCACGCGAAGCGAUGAUAUACUCGCGAUAGGAAGCGAGCGCUGCGAUGACCAAGUCCGAGCCCACUACCCUUCUGCAUGCUAACAGAAGAGACCGGAGCGCCCGAGAGCAUACCACGGAAGAGGCAUCGUGCUGCGGUGGAAUGCCAAUUCGUUGCUCGCCACAAACAGAGGAAGAUUUUUCUUCGGAACGGAAUCGAUUAUUUGACGUGGAAAGUGAAAUAAAAUAUUCGG